RNAcentral lists this ribosomal RNA (167 nucleotides) under uncultured bacterium. RNAcentral describes it as "partial 16S rRNA". It matches the Rfam family "Bacterial small subunit ribosomal RNA", at positions 353 to 511 of the family's 1533-position model. The record is from RNAcentral.
UAGGGGAAGUCUUCCACCAAUGGACGCAAGUCUGAUGGAGCAACGCCGCGUGAGUGAAGAAGGGUUUCGGCUCGUAAAGCUCUGUUGUUAAAGAAGAACGUGGGUAAGAGUAACUGUUUACCCAGUGACGGUAUUUAACCAGAAAGCCACGGCUAACUACGUGCCAG